Molecule: transfer RNA, 71 nt
Filed under: Trichobilharzia regenti
Lineage: Eukaryota; Metazoa; Platyhelminthes; Trematoda; Strigeidida; Schistosomatidae
Rfam family: tRNA
About the family: Transfer RNA (tRNA) molecules are approximately 80 nucleotides in length. Their secondary structure includes four short double-helical elements and three loops (D, anti-codon, and T loops).
Source: Rfam by way of RNAcentral
GCGUCGGUGGUUCAAUGGUAGAAUGCUCGCCUGCCACGCUGGCGGUUCGAAUUCCAUUCCCGGCCGACUCA